CAAUACAGGAUAUGUCGUAUUGACUUUUUCUUUUCAAAGUAUUUGCACUUUUCAAUCUAAUCCGAGAUUCCUCUGACUCUUACCUCCGCUUUUGAAGUACGUCACAAUAUAAAAGCGGGCGUUAGAGUCAGCGGAAUCUCGGAAUAUUAUCUGUCCACUGUAUUUUCACGGUAGCUGCAGAACUGUAGCUCUCCGGGAAAAAAAUAUUGACAGACCGGAGAGCUACAGGGCCACCCAUUGAAAAAAUUGUACAUGUAUAUUUAUUGCGCAGAAAAACGUGCGCUAGUUUUGGACUGAUUUACCUUAUUUAUACGCAAAUUCUGUGAAAACAUUAGUACCAUUAAAUUCUUCAUGCAAUUUACUACUGAUAUCGACUCUUUAUUUGCCUCAGACUUUCUCCGAAACACGCUACCGACCUCGGAAAAUCAAGUAUGUUGAAUUUACAUCGAGAUCGAGAGUCGCCAUUUUUACAUGUAAACAAAAUGGACCACAUGAAUUUACGGGACUGGUGAUGGUGUUUAAAAGACUAUCCGAGGCAAGUGAAGAGAGGAUAUCAGUAGUAAAUUGCAUGAAGAAUUUAAAAUUAAAAGCGGUGGGAGUCCUAAGCUUAAAGCAGACUCUUGUUACCACAUGGCUUUUACCUGUUGAUUCUUGUGGUUUCAGCUCUUGAGGUUAACCUGUCACCUCUAACCACAUGCAUAUUCCCUGUGUUCUACAGACUAUCUACCGGUAAUUCAAAUUAAAUCGGAUAAUGCAUGAACAAUAAUGGAACUUUAAGAAAGCAUCAUGUCCUAUUGUGGUUUGUUCAUGUUUGAUAAGAAAUUAUGAAAAACAAAAUUAAGGCUGUUUAAAGAAAUAUAAUUGUUGUGAAAAUUUGUUUUUCAAUAAAAGUAUGCAAUUAUA
Long non-coding RNA from Magallana angulata, 903 nucleotides. RefSeq lists it as uncharacterized. Lineage: Eukaryota; Metazoa; Mollusca; Bivalvia; Ostreida; Ostreidae. The record is from RefSeq and is a predicted model, not a curated record. The transcript is spliced from 2 exons.